RNAcentral lists this ribosomal RNA (589 nucleotides) under uncultured organism. RNAcentral's name for it is "SSU rRNA". It matches the Rfam family "Eukaryotic small subunit ribosomal RNA", at positions 564 to 1159 of the family's 1831-position model. The record is from RNAcentral.
GUGCCAGCAGCCGCGGUAAUUCCAGCUCCAAUAGCAUAUAUUAAAGUUGUUGCGGUUAAAACGCCCGUAGUUGGAUCAGCGGAUUUGGAGAACGGUCUGCCGAUGGGCUGUACUGUUCUCCUGUCCUAUUUUCUCUAGUUCGCUCUAGGUGCUCUUCACUGAGUGUCUAGAGUGGCUGGAACUUUUACUUUGAAAAAAUUAGAGUGCUCAAAGCAGGCGUCUCAGCCUGAAUAGUGGUGCAUGGAAUAAUGGAAUAGGACCUCAGUUCUAUUUUGUUGGUUUUCGGAACAUGAGGUAAUGAUUAAGAGGGACAGACGGGGGCAUUCGUAUUGCGACGUUAGAGGUGAAAUUCUUGGAUCGUCGCAAGACGAACUACUGCGAAAGCAUUUGCCAAGAAUGUUUUCAUUAAUCAAGGACGAUAGUUAGAGGUUCGAAGGCGAUCAGAUACCGCCCUAGUUCUAACCGUAAACGAUGUCAACCAGCGAUCCGCAGGAGUUAUUCAUGACUCUGCGGGCAGCUUCCGGGAAACCAAAGUUUUUGGAUUCCGGGGGGAGUAUGGUUGCAAAGCUGAAACUCAAGGAAUUGACGG